Molecule: small nuclear RNA, 99 nt
Filed under: Octodon degus (degu)
Lineage: Eukaryota; Metazoa; Chordata; Mammalia; Rodentia; Octodontidae
Source: RNAcentral
GUGCUCGCUUUUGCAGCACAUAUAUUAAAAUUGGAACGAUACAGAGAAGAUUAGCAUCCAAGGAGCUAAGAGAACCUCACUAUAAAACUAUCUCUUUUU